AGAUGUUAAAUAGAUUUACCUAUAUUUGUUUACGGUACAAAAAGAUUUUACAUCUU
Molecule: transfer RNA, 56 nt
Filed under: Cruznema tripartitum
Lineage: Eukaryota; Metazoa; Nematoda; Chromadorea; Rhabditida; Rhabditidae
Description: tRNA-Arg
Source: RNAcentral